UCCCUGUUCAGAAGAGCUGUAACACUGAGAAGAGCUGUAACACUAAGAAGAGCUGUAACACUGAGAAGAGCUGUAACACUGAGAAGAGCUGUAACACUAAGAAGAGCUGUAACACAGUAAAGGCUUGCUCGCAGAAGAAUCCUGUUGCCGCGCGUCGUUCUUGCUGGCGGGACAUUGGGCGCGCGAUAAGUGGUGCCGAGACCCGGGAACCAACAUCGCCGGUGCCAGGGGACCCUUCAGUGUGCUGAAGAGGAUUCAGAACUGCGAGAAGAAUCAAGAAAAUCCAAUUUGGGUACCCGAGCGUUUGACUCGAAGAUUGUCUUCUGCUCUUCCUGAAGAUGAGACUACAAACCCUACUAUUACUACUGGGAAUGGUAAUACAGGUUAAUUCGCUCACCCUGUGGGCUAUUGCCAGAUCCUGGCCAGUACCCAUGCCAGUUCAUAGCAAUUCUACUGUUUUGAGAAUAAGACUGGCAAGCAUAAUCUCUGGCCUGGUUUCUAUGGGUGCUGUCCAAUGAGCAAGGGUUAUAUACAUCCCUGACCCCCUUUGCUAGGUUGAUGGGUGAGAAUUUCGUGCUGUAUAAUGUUUCAGCUACCAGAAAAAAAUGAUACCAGGUUGACCAAUAUUCAAUAUAAUAACCUCUUGGCAAAUAAUAUUGCCACUAGUACUUCAGUAAUGUGUUAGAUCACCUUUUUUCUUUCUGAUAAGCACUAAUGUCAGCAAUGGUGUUUUAAAUUGUAAUAGCUCUGAUGUAGUCUGCUAUU
This 765-nucleotide long non-coding RNA is filed under the name Rattus norvegicus (Norway rat). Its description in RNAcentral is "long non-coding RNA NONRATT027789". Lineage: Eukaryota; Metazoa; Chordata; Mammalia; Rodentia; Muridae. The record is from RNAcentral.